RNAcentral lists this ribosomal RNA (429 nucleotides) under Bacillota bacterium. RNAcentral describes it as "Firmicutes bacterium partial 16S ribosomal RNA". It matches the Rfam family "Bacterial small subunit ribosomal RNA", at positions 355 to 776 of the family's 1533-position model. Lineage: Bacteria; Bacillati; Bacillota. The record is from RNAcentral.
UAGGGAAUCUUCGGCAAUGGACGGAAGUCUGACCGAGCAACGCCGCGGGAGUGAAGAAGGUUUUCGGAUCGUAAAGCUCUGUUGUUAGAGAAGAACGUUGGUAGGAGUGGAAAAUCUACCAAGUGACGGUAACUAACCAGAAAGGGACGGCUAACUACGUGCCAGCAGCCGCGGUAAUACGUAGGUCCCGAGCGUUGUCCGGAUUUAUUGGGCGUAAAGCGAGCGCAGGCGGUUCUUUAAGUCUGAAGUUAAAGGCAGUGGCUUAACCAUUGUACGCUUUGGAAACUGGAGGACUUGAGUGCAGAAGGGGAGGGUGGAAUUCCAUGUGUAGCGGUGAAAUGCGUAGAUAUAUGGAGGAACACCGGUGGCGAAAGCGGCUCUCUGGUCUGUAACUGACGCUGAGGCUCGAAAGCGUGGGGAGCAAACAGG